This 431-nucleotide ribosomal RNA is filed under the name uncultured bacterium. RNAcentral describes it as "partial 16S ribosomal RNA". It matches the Rfam family "Bacterial small subunit ribosomal RNA", at positions 29 to 507 of the family's 1533-position model. The record is from RNAcentral.
AACGAACGCUGGCGGCAGGCUUAACACAUGCAAGUCGAGCGCCCCGCAAGGGGACCUGCAUACGUGUUAUUAACGCCUGGGAACUUACCUUUUUGUUCGUAACAACUCCGUGAAACUGGAGCUAAUUCCGGAUAAGCCCUAUCGUGGAAAGAUUUAUGGCCGAAAGAUUGGCUCGCGUCUGAUUAGCUAGUUUGUUAGGUAACUUGACACCAACGCGACUAUCUGUAGAUGUUAAUAGAGUAUGAUCAGACACACUGGGACUUAGACACGGCACAGAAUCCUACGGGAGGGAGGAGAGGGGAAUAUAGGAAAAUGGGGGCAAGGAUGAAGGAGCCAUGACGGGAGAGUGAUGAAGGCAUUAGGGAUGUAAAGCUCUAUUGACCGGGAAGAUAAUGACGGUACCGGAAGAAAAAGCCACGGCUAACUUCGUG